This 253-nucleotide ribosomal RNA is filed under the name uncultured bacterium. RNAcentral describes it as "partial 16S ribosomal RNA". It matches the Rfam family "Bacterial small subunit ribosomal RNA", at positions 524 to 776 of the family's 1533-position model. The record is from RNAcentral.
UACGAAGGGGGCUAGCGUUGCUCGGAAUCACUGGGCGUAAAGCGCACGUAGGCGGCUUUUUAAGUCAGAGGUGAAAUCCUGGAGCUCAACUCCAGAACUGCCUUUGAUACUGGAGAGCUUGAGUCCGGGAGGGGUGAGUGGAACUGCGAGUGUAGAGGUGAAAUUCGUAGAUAUUCGCAAGAACACCAGUGGCGAAGGCGGCUCACUGGCCCGGUACUGACGCUGAGGUGCGAAAGCGUGGGGAGCAAACAGG